This 22-nucleotide non-coding RNA is filed under the name Arabidopsis thaliana (thale cress). Lineage: Eukaryota; Viridiplantae; Streptophyta; Magnoliopsida; Brassicales; Brassicaceae. The record is from RNAcentral.
GGUCUCGUGGCACACUUGCCAA